Molecule: long non-coding RNA, 475 nt
Organism: Bos indicus x Bos taurus (hybrid cattle)
Lineage: Eukaryota; Metazoa; Chordata; Mammalia; Artiodactyla; Bovidae
Source: Ensembl
CAUAAGUGCCAUCUCUCAUCCCAGGAAGCUAGUGAUUUCAAGAGUUGAAACGGAAGUACUCUGUCCGUGGAACACAUCAUCAGUUCAAUGAAAAAGAAAACUUUUUCACAAAACUGAAAGGACUGUGUUGGCCUGAAUCAGAAAAAGUGAAGUUUCAUUGAAAGUGGAAGAAAGUGGUGCUUACUCCUCCAUAUGGAAUUCAAUAAGGAGAACAAUUCUCUGGUCUUUAUAAUAGAAUUACAGAAUAGCAGCUAUGGCUGGAGAGACAAGCUGACUACUACUGUGGUGAUUGCCGAAGCUAUUUUAGGAAUAGCCUCUGUUAACUCCUGUUAAAGCUUUGGUGCUGAACGGCAGUACAAGUCUUCUGUCUGAGAGAGCACUGACUUAAAGGGACCACCGACUGCAAGAACAUUGUAAGUUGACCUUUCUGGUUGGUGUGCAUCAAAUGGGGUGCUUCUGGCUCUAAAUAACAAAA